AAGUUAUCUAUUGUAUUUUGUUUGAGCCCAGAGUUGCUUUAAAUUCUUUAUAUUAUUUCCUUACCCACCUCUGGGAGAACAGCUAAGAUACUGUCUUGAUUUGAUAUGAUUAUCAAAAGAAUAAUUUAUGUUGUUAGAUUGGCAAACAGAAUUCAUAUUCAUUGCCUGAUACAAGUAUUGUCUUAUACCUUCUAGAGGUUAAAGAACUUUGCAUUUAACAUUAAGUCAGAAUUCUAGCAAGGACCUCUUAAUGUUUUAGAAAGCUACUUGUUUUCCUCUCAGCUCAUGU
This 289-nucleotide long non-coding RNA is filed under the name Bos taurus (domestic cattle). RNAcentral describes it as "long non-coding RNA NONBTAT009375". Lineage: Eukaryota; Metazoa; Chordata; Mammalia; Artiodactyla; Bovidae. The record is from RNAcentral.